Molecule: long non-coding RNA, 798 nt
Organism: Coregonus clupeaformis (lake whitefish)
Lineage: Eukaryota; Metazoa; Chordata; Actinopteri; Salmoniformes; Salmonidae
Exons: 4
Source: RefSeq, a predicted model, not a curated record
GCUGAGAGUUAGCGUCGGAUGUCGUCAUCUGGACCAACACCAUGCGGACCUUGAUGGUGUCACAAGGAUGCCAAGAUCAAUGCUCAGACAGAGGAGAAAGCGCUGCCGGGGCCAAUAACGGCUUGACCUGAAUACAUGCUGUCUGCAGUCACACUGUGGCAAGAAAGGAGAUCUGUAGCUCAGCUGGUAGAGCACGGCGCUUGUAACGCCAAGAUGUGGCUGGAGGAGUGGUGGUGGCCACUGGAAGGCAACUUUAAUACUGGAGCAAAUGUAGGAGCUCAUCUUCAUAAAAUGAAUCUAUAACAGCUGAUGCAAGUAUUCUAUAUGUAUUAGGUACUACUACAGUGCUAGCAGGAGAGCCCUCCUUUACUAAUCAUAUUUCAUGAAUGUACAGGGUCCAUUUUGACCCAAGACAAUCCAGACUAAGAAUGUACCAAAGGUCAGAUCAUAAUGAAUACUAGUAUUAUAUGGACAGAGUCGACCUGAUCCUAGAUCAGCACUCCUACUCUGAUGGCGAAUUCUCUCUCUCUGAUCAUCCUUUCUAUAAUUUCAGAUUGACCCCCUGGUCUAUGAUUAGUAGAUGUGGGUGAGUGGACAUACAGAUCUGGGACUAGCAUAAAAACAGCAACUCUUCUCAGCUGUUGGCAAGGAUUUAUUUGACAUCCAAUCACCAUGAGAGAUGCUUUAUUCUGCAUUCAACACUUCUAUUGUGGUCUCCCCUUAUAGAUGAUUUUCAAGUACAUAUGUUGUAGAAUUAAACACCUAUAUGCCUUAAAAUGUUUAUGGAUUGAGAACCAG